This 584-nucleotide long non-coding RNA is filed under the name Homo sapiens (human). RNAcentral's name for it is "HSALNT0172637". The record is from RNAcentral. Lineage: Eukaryota; Metazoa; Chordata; Mammalia; Primates; Hominidae.
UGUGUGCAUGCCUGUGUGCAGACAGCUGUAGUACGGAGCCUUUGGGUCAGAGCUCUGACUCCCCACCUGGUCUGGAGGCAGCCCUGGUCAGCCCCAAGAUUCCCGAGAGGAUGGGCCUGCUUCUUUUUCUCUAAGAUGAGGACAAGGAGCUGGAAGCAGGCUGCGGACCAUCAGGAUCUGUCAGCAGCCCCUCUAUCAAACUGGACCAGGGAUUCACCCAUCUCACAGAGCUGUUACAGGGAUGGAAACUAACCAGUGUGGGUUUCCUCUGCCUGGACCAUGCCUCUCACAGACAACCAGUCUUGUGGCUCAUUCACGCCCUCACCUCCUUUAGCAAUUGGCUGCAAUAUCUCCUCUCCCAGGCAUUACCUGAUUCCCCUUCUUAAAGUUGCAACUCACUGCCUCUACUCAGUCCUCCCUCCCUGACCCCUCCCUUGCUUAUAUUUGUCGAGGGGACAAUCACUGUCUUGUCAGAGACACAUCGGUAAUUACGAUGUGAAUCAUAAGCUUUAUGGCCUUCUUUUGCACAGGCCCCUUCCAGAAUUUGUUGUAAGUUCUUUGUGCAUUUUAAAUAAAUAUUUCCU